AAUUGAGGUUUUGAAUGGAAGAUGGCCGUUGUAGUUAAUUUCGCAACUAUCUAGGAUCACGUUGUUUCAGAUUUCUAUGAAUUGGCUGAAAGAAUUUUAGGCAGUGUUUAUUGAUAAAAGUUGGUAGCUAAUGGUCCGCUUAAGUGUGUAAGCUUUUAAUUCGCUAAAGCAUUUUUCUUUCAAUAGGGAAGGAGUGCAACGCUUGAUUUUUUAAAUCCUAAAGGCCCAAAAGGCAAAACCUUUCACUUUUUAUUCAGCGUUUAACGUGGCAGAUUUCUAGUUGGGUUUGUUUUUCCUACAUGUCAGCACAUCCUUAAUUGUAGGGCUUUACUUCCUCUCAGACAUGUCAACACAUCCUUAAUUGUAGGGCCUUACUUUCUCUCAGCUUUUACUAUUAUAUAUAUGAUAUGAUUUUUAGUUUGUCAGCCUGCAAUGCAUUUCUUGGCAUUGGUUUAUUGAAGGAGUAGAUAGAUUUACAUUUUCUUCUUCAUUUGACUACUGGAGGUUUAAGUAUUAGAUUAAGGUAUUUUUUGAAUUCCUAUUCACUGGGUGACAUUGGAUUUUGAUCAUGCUUCUUGUUGGUAUUGGAUAGGUAGAUUCCUCUUAUUGAUGUGGUGAUGCCAAUGCUUUUGUUGCCAAGGGAGAAUUAUAUAGUUUAUCGGUUUGUCCUGUAAUUGCCAUUAGUUGGGGUUUUCUGUAAAUGAAAUGCUUUUAACUUACGUAUUUGAAUUUUGCAUCAUUAUUCAUAUAAUAUGUUGCUAAUUGAUUUCCAAUUCAAAGAAAAUGAGUGAGCAGAUGCCAUCAAGACUUCUUUAUAAGUUGGUGAUGUUUAUUUUGUGGUUGUGACGAGUACUUUCCUAGCUCCUACAAUUGUUUUGUAUGUUGAAACAAAAAUGUUUGAUUAUUUAAACUUGAUAUGUAUCCUGGAGGGGAAAUUGUGAUUUGGGCUUUCUUGUACUUGAGCAACAGAGUUUUUGUAAAAGUCUUGCUUAAAAAUGGUGCUUGAGCUGUGUAAUUGAAUGUGACAAUUGAAAACUCCUUUUAUUCUUUCGUCUUCAUUCUUCUCUUAUUAAUCUUUUGAUAUACUCUUCCUCGAAUGUGUUUACUAUUCCUAGUUGUUCAAUUUGUUUUAUAGAUUUCGGUGCUAGGCUACUUUUCAAAGCAUUUUUUGCAGCAAAUUUGGCAUCUAGAUCGACAGUAAUUCCCUCUUAAAUUUGCAUAAAAAAGAAGGUCCACUGAAGGAACAAUUUUGUGGUUACUCUCUUGAAAGAUGGUUUUGGUGAAGUGGGAUCGGGUCUUGUACAGUGGUGCUUUAGUUAGUUUUAGUAUUUAGCAAGAGAUUAUUUUACUUGCCCAUUUACGUGGUAUGGUAUCUUUUGUUAGGGUUCUUUCUAUUUUCUUUAACCUCAUAUGUGGUUAUGCUUUCUGAGGCACCAGUAUGUGCCAUGCUCUAUAAAUUGUGAUUUUAUUGUCUUAUAUUUUCUUUCAUUAUAUAAAAGGAGAUUUUUUUAUCUUGUAGAGACAGCUUUAGAAGUUUUAUUGGGAGCUUGUCUAUAUUCGCCUCCUUACUCUAUCAAGCAUACAUUAUUUGACAUUUUGGUGCUCUUUUGGGCUUAAAAUAGUAUUAAUUGUUAUAUCUAUUCCGUUUGAAUUUGUUCUUUGGAUCUGCAUCAGCUACUAGGUGUUUCAAGCAGUGUGCUUGGAGCAGGUUUUGCAAAUUCUUGCCCGCGGUGCUUGGCAAAGUUGUAGA
Long non-coding RNA from Quercus lobata, 1750 nucleotides. RefSeq lists it as uncharacterized. The record is from RefSeq and is a predicted model, not a curated record. The transcript has 3 exons. NCBI's taxonomy places the organism in Eukaryota, Viridiplantae, Streptophyta, Magnoliopsida, Fagales, Fagaceae.